RNAcentral lists this transfer RNA (77 nucleotides) under Gammaproteobacteria bacterium. RNAcentral describes it as "tRNA-Arg". It matches the Rfam family "tRNA". From Rfam's summary of the family: Transfer RNA (tRNA) molecules are approximately 80 nucleotides in length. Their secondary structure includes four short double-helical elements and three loops (D, anti-codon, and T loops). The record is from RNAcentral. Lineage: Bacteria; Pseudomonadati; Pseudomonadota; Gammaproteobacteria. RNAcentral also lists the same sequence under 1 other name.
GCCCCGGUAGCUCAGAUGGAUAGAGCGGACGCCUCCUAAGCGUCAGGUCCCAGGUUCGAAUCCUGGUCGGGGCACCA